RNAcentral lists this ribosomal RNA (518 nucleotides) under uncultured bacterium. RNAcentral's name for it is "bacterial LSU rRNA". It matches the Rfam family "Bacterial large subunit ribosomal RNA", at positions 1609 to 2148 of the family's 2925-position model. The record is from RNAcentral.
CAAGAAAAGCCCAUAUAACAGCGACCGUACUAAAACUGACACAGGUAGGUGAGGCGCGUAGCCUCAGGCGCUCGGGAAAACGCUGGUUAAGGAACUCUGCAAAUUGGCCCCGUAACUUCGGGAUAAGGGGUGCCAUCGCAAGAUGGUCUCAGCAAAGCGGCACUAGCGACUGUUUACUAAAAACACAGGUCUCUGCGAACUCGUAAGAGGAUGUAUAGAGACUGACGCCUGCCCGGUACCGGUAAGUUAAUAAAGAGGGUUAGCUUUCGGGCGAAGCCAGCAAUUGAAGCUCCGGUAAACGGCGGCCGUAACUAUGACGGUCCUAAGGUAGCGAAAUUCCUUGUCGGGUAAGUUCCGACCUGCAUGAAUGGCGUAACGACUGGUGCACUGUCUCAACCAGCGACCCGGUGAAAUUGUAGUCGUGGUGAAGAUGCACGUACCCGCAGCAAGACGGAAAGACCCCAUGAACCUUACUGCAGGCUGAUACUGUCACUUGGCAUGUUUUGUGUAGGAUAGGU